This 118-nucleotide ribosomal RNA is filed under the name uncultured Corynebacterium sp. Its description in RNAcentral is "partial 16S ribosomal RNA". It matches the Rfam family "Bacterial small subunit ribosomal RNA", at positions 335 to 452 of the family's 1533-position model. Lineage: Bacteria; Bacillati; Actinomycetota; Actinomycetes; Mycobacteriales; Corynebacteriaceae. The record is from RNAcentral.
ACUCUUACGGGAGGCAGCAGUGGGGAAUAUUGCACAAUGGGCGCAAGCCUGAUGCAGUGACGCCGCGUGGGGGAUGAAGGCCUUCGGGUUGUAAACUCCAAUCAGAAGGGACGAAGCC